Molecule: non-coding RNA, 73 nt
Organism: Dracunculus medinensis (Guinea worm)
Lineage: Eukaryota; Metazoa; Nematoda; Chromadorea; Rhabditida; Dracunculidae
Source: Rfam
AAGAGUUGAAAGACAUGGGUAGUGAGACGUUAAAUUUAAAAAUUCGUAUCACUAUUCUGUUUUUCACCUUUUU